GGAACGCCGGACCUGCGGUCGGGCUGGCGUGGCAGAGCACAGCGCGUAGGAGAAGUCGGAGGCAGGCAGGCAGUCGAAGGACGAGCACGUUGUCAGGACCGGCGGCGAGCUGAAGCGUGGUCGAAGGGCGAGCAAGUUGUCAGGACAGGCGGCGAGCAGAAGCGUGGUCGAAAGGCGAGCAAGUUGUCAGGACAGGCGGCGAGCUGAAGCGUGGUCAAAGAUCACGGAAGCAGGUGGCUACAAAGAUCGGUCCGGGGAAAAAAGGCAGGAGUAUCACGGGCAGGCAGCGGGUUCGGGGUUUGCCGCCACAACACGCACCAACCACCUUACGACCAUAGCUCGGCUCUGAUCAGACGCCUAAACAAUGGAGGCAUUGAAGAUGGUCCACUAAGACUUAAUGUCCCCCGCCUCCUCCGGGACGUGGGCAAAAUUCUGCUGGAGGUUGGACCAGCAUCUUCCACCACCAUCGAAGGCAGCACACCACCAGGUGGUGAUCAGUUGACAGCUCCGCCUCUCUCUUCACCCGAGUUUCCAAAACAUGCGGCUGCAAAUCCGAUGACAUGACUUUAAAGUUGAUCAAAGAGUGUUCAAAGGGUGUUCUGGUGCUACACUCACAUAUCGACAACUAGUGGGGGUGGGGGGUUAGGUUGGGAUGGAUGGAUGGAUGGAUGGAUGGAUGGAUGGAUGGAUGGAUGGAUGGAUGGAUGGAUGGAUGGAUGGAUGGAUGGAUGCAGACAUUGACAUUAAGGUAGGAAGAAUGAAAAGUAAAUCACAAUUGCAUGUAUUUGGAUGCUGAAAUGUAGAAUUUAGUUCCUACAUUAUAUAGAACAGACAUUAACGACUUUUCUACAGUACAUUUAGUGUGUGUGUGUGUGUGUGUGUGUAUUUAUACAUACUUGUGCAUGAGUGUGCAUGUUUGUCUGCACGCACGUGUGUGCGUGCGCACGCGUGUGUUUUUGUGUGUGCGCACGCUUGUCCAUUUGUGUAUGUGCUGUCCACCAUUUCGGUAAUGAGUUCAAUCUCCUGUCUCAAGCUAAUCCCUGUUUUUAUCUGUGUUGCAUGGUCACAGGAUUAUUCUUGUCUUUAACCUGGUCCUGACAUGGUAAUGAAAAAAUAACUGCUUUUAAUGUUUAAACUUAAAUUACUAUAAAUCUUUACUAGACUAAUAUAUGUAUAGUAUCCAUAUACCGUAAUUUUCGGACUAUAAAUCGCGUUUUUUUUCAUAGUUUGGGUGGGGGGGCGACUUGUAAUAUAUGUGUUUUUUUUCAAAGAUUUUCAAAAAUUUUACCCCCCCCCCCCCCCCAAAAAAAAGUGAAACCGCAAUAAACGAACCGCGAUGUA
This is a long non-coding RNA of Syngnathus typhle (broad-nosed pipefish), 1341 nucleotides long. RefSeq lists it as uncharacterized. Lineage: Eukaryota; Metazoa; Chordata; Actinopteri; Syngnathiformes; Syngnathidae. The record is from RefSeq and is a predicted model, not a curated record. The transcript is spliced from 3 exons.